AUUGAACGCUGGCGGCAGGCCUAACACAUGCCAGUCGAACGGUAACAGGAAGACGCUUGCUUCUUUGCUGACGAGUGGCGGACGGGUGAGUAAUGUCUGGGAAACUGCCUGAUGGAGGGGGAUAACUACUGGAAACGGUAGCUAAUACCGCAUAACGUCGCAAGACCAAAGAGGGGGACCUUCGGGCCUCUUGCCAUCGGAUGUGCCCAGAUGUGAUUAGCUAGUAGGUGGGGUAACGGCUCACCUAGGCGACGAUCCCUAGCUGGUCUGAGAGGAUGACCAGACAGACUGGAACUGAGAAACGGUACAGACUCCGACGGGAGGCAGCAGUGGGGAAUAUUGCACGAUGGGGGCAAGCCUGAUGCAGCAAUGCCGCGUGUAGGAAGAAGGACUUCGGGUUGUAAAGUACUUUCAGCGGGGAGGAAGGGAGGAAAGUUAAUACCUUUGCUCAUUGACGGUACCCGCAGAAGAAGCACCGGCUAACUCCGUG
Molecule: ribosomal RNA, 490 nt
Filed under: uncultured bacterium
Lineage: Bacteria
Description: partial 16S ribosomal RNA
Rfam family: Bacterial small subunit ribosomal RNA
Source: RNAcentral